This 876-nucleotide long non-coding RNA is filed under the name Olea europaea (common olive). Its description in RNAcentral is "long non-coding RNA (OEUR_LNC003197)". Lineage: Eukaryota; Viridiplantae; Streptophyta; Magnoliopsida; Lamiales; Oleaceae. The record is from RNAcentral.
GGAGUCUCCGUAAAUAGGGGACUAAAUUGCCUAACUUUCCUAACUCUUAAACCAACUUUGAAUAAAUAUAAAGCUAAGAAAAAUGUAUUAUACACCUGUUUGCUAAAUCAAAGUCAAUAAUUAAUCAGGAUAUUUCCUGGAAAGCAGAAGUUCCUUGAAAGGCAAGACGUAUACAUGAGUUUCACUCGCUCGACACUUUGACAGUUCAAUUGGGGGCUCUUAAACCCUAGCCAAUUUGGGACACAACCCGCGAUUUACCUGGUCUGCGUGAAGAGAGGUUGGAUCGUAAACCCCAGGAUUAGUCGCUGUAAGGUGGACACCUGGGUAUCCAAAAAAAAAAAAGUCAAUAAUUAAUUUUAAACUGCAUAUUUGACAAGACUCAUAAUUUUUCAACUACAAAUUUCUUCAAAUUUACUUAAAAUCUGAUAUUAAUCCCCAUUAAACACGGACUAUAUAUGCAUCUGUGUUCCUGGAGGAUUAAGGUAGUUCAAACUAAAAAAUACAACAACAAAAACUAUGUUCAAUAAAGAUGAAAUAACAUUUUAUCCAGUCUCGUAUAGGAACCUCCUGAAACUCCCACCAAAUGAAAAGUGAUUUUUAUUCUUUGGCCUUGUCCCAUUUUGCAUCUAAUCUUGCGUUGGGAAAGCUGCAUAAUUCGUGCUUCUGCCGUUGAAUCCUCUUAGCUGUUUGAGGACUCGGAUGUGUUCCCAUUGCUACAUUUUUCUGAGCAUAUAAGACGAUUGAACUUAUAGAUAGGAUCGAAGAUCAUCACUCGGAGAGUUAAGAAUUUCAGGGAAGGGUGGGGGCAACAGAAGGAACUUAACCAUCAAAUAAAGGAAAAGGUGAUAAAUGGUGGAUUACUCUCUAGUGAUUUUC